This is a non-coding RNA of Triticum urartu, 1994 nucleotides long. NCBI's taxonomy places the organism in Eukaryota, Viridiplantae, Streptophyta, Magnoliopsida, Poales, Poaceae. The record is from RefSeq and is a predicted model, not a curated record.
GAAGUUGCCUCGAGCCCCACCCCUUCCUUAUCCUUUCCUCCAAAAUUUCACAUCACACGCAACGCAACCUUCUCUCGUGACGCCGCCGCCGCCUCCUCUUCUCUCCCCCGAUUCUCCUCGCGACUGCUCCGAGCCCCUCCUCUUCCCUGUGUCGGCUGCUCGACGCGCCGCGCCACCACUGCGGGAGAAGGUGAACACGAGGAGAUGCAGGGUGGGUGGCCUCGCCGGAAGAGUGUGACGCCGGGAACCACCGGCUGGCCAAGGACCGUGUGGGCUGGCACUUCCCCGCGGCGCCCUCCUUCCCCGACUUCGCCGUCGCCACUGCCCCCUCCCCUCCUGUCGAGGCUGAGCGUGCACAGAGUGGACGAGUCGAUCGCGGCGGAACCAGAGUCACUCGAGGCCGGGGUGCCAGAUGACGUCCAGCAGACGGAGGGGUGGCCAUGGGAGGAGUAGCCCACAAUGAAAUCCAUUUUCUCUUUGUGUGUGUGUGUGUGUGUGUGUGUGUUGGAUUUGGAUCGAGGAAGGGGAUGGCGUGGGGAUGAGGAGGUGGACAGAGGAAGAGGGCGAUGCUGGCUGGCUGAGCGGGCGGAUUUGGAUCCAAGCGGCCCCUCGUGUGUUUGAUCUGUAGAGCGGCCAGAGGAGCAGGCCAACAUAACACCAACGUGCGCAAGGAAGAUGAGCUUCCAAAGUACAUCAUACGCGGUAUGUACAUUCCUGUCCCGACGCCGUGCCCGACGCGCUGGACUGGAGGCAUAGCGGCGCCGUCACCAUGGUCAAGCACCAGGGCAAGCGUGGUGCCAUGGAAGGACUAAACAAGAUCACGACAGGCUCUCUUCUCAGCCUUCCUGAGUAGAAACUAAUCAGUUGUGACAUAUCCCACAAUGCUGGUUGUGGCGGGUAGGCUCAGGAACUAUGCUUAUAAGUUUGUGAUUAAUAAUGGUGGGAGUGACACGAAGGAUGACUACCCGUUUGGUGAAUCAGAUGAAACAUGCAACAAAAACAAACUGAAAAAGCAUGUGGUAACAAUUGAUGGCUACUGAAGCGACGUCCUGCCGGUGUACAUCAGGGACGCCUGCACCAACGAUGACGCCUUCAAGGUGCUGUGGAAGUGAGGUCAGGGCAUGGGGAUCCGGGCAAGUGCGCCAAGGAGACCGACACGUCUUACCCGCUCAUGACCCAAGCAGUGAUUUUCCAUUGCCUCUAGAUGUAUCAUCGACCGUCGCCAGCCUCUGGUUUUAGACGUGAACGUGUAUGUACUAGUACUUCAUAUUGCUAUAUUUUGAUUUUGACGAAAUAACAUCACGUGGUACAAUCAAGAAAGUGGAAGGGGCGCAUCCUAUCUAGCACCGCCCCAGCUUCCUCUCAGGCGGCGCACCUGGGUGCGCCCCAACCACUAGUCAACAAGAAAGCCUACUUCUUCCUCAACAACGCCUUCAAUGUGGGCAUGCCCCCACGCCGACAUCGUCAUGUCCAGCCGAAGACAACAAGGACAAAGACUAUCAUCCUAGUUGUCAAGACCAACCAAUGAAGGCAAGUAUGAACAAGUUCAUCACUGCUAAGCCCGGAACAAGAGUUUUCACCCCGUACUUGAAACGGCACUCCAACACCAUCUCGAUGGUGGAUCUUCCGAUGGUUGCACCAGCUAUCCCUUCACGCUAGGCCGGAAUGGCGCUACCAGAUGGGUGAUACGUAAUCCCACCGUAGACCACCCCCACGGGAUUCGGAGGGCCUGCCCAUGAUGUGGCACGGAUUUGAUACAAUUGUGCCAACCAGCCUGUAGAGUUUACCAUGACCCCAAGGCUGCUACCCUGGCAUCGUUCUAUUUUGGCAAUUAGUUGUAUACCGAUUGUGAACCCUAAAAAUGUUUGAUGGACAGAAGUUCUUAAACUGCCUAUAUUAUGUGGACUAUAGGCAACCGAUUUCUCAUUACGGACAACCAUCUUCUGUCCUGAUCGAUUUAUAAGUAUCUAUGAGGCAUGGGUUACACCUUUUGA